Molecule: ribosomal RNA, 497 nt
Filed under: uncultured bacterium
Lineage: Bacteria
Description: partial 16S ribosomal RNA
Rfam family: Bacterial small subunit ribosomal RNA
Source: RNAcentral
GAUGAACGCUGGCGGCGUGCCUAAUACAUGCAAGUCGAGCGAACAGACGAGGAGCUUGCUCCUCUGACGUUAGCGGCGGACGGGUGAGUAACACGUGGAUAACCUACCUAUAAGACUGGGAUAACUUCGGGAAACCGGAGCUAAUACCGGAUAAUAUAUUGAACCGCAUGGUUCAAUAGUGAAAGACGGUUUUGCUGUCACUUAUAGAUGGAUCCGCGCCGCAUUAGCUAGUUGGUAAGGUAACGGCUUACCAAGGCAACGAUGCGUAGCCGACCUGAGAGGGGGGUCGGACACACUGGAACUGAGACACGGUCCAGACUCCUACGGGAGGCAGCAGUAGGGAAUCUUCCGCAAUGGGCGAAAGCCUGACGGAGCAACGCCGCGUGAGUGAUGAAGGUCUUCGGAUCGUAAAACUCUGUUAUUAGGGAAGAACAAAUGUGUAAGUAACUAUGCACGUCUUGACGGUACCUAAUCAGAAAGCCACGGCUAACUACGUG